Long non-coding RNA from Mandrillus leucophaeus (drill), 825 nucleotides. RefSeq lists it as uncharacterized. The transcript has 2 exons. The record is from RefSeq and is a predicted model, not a curated record. Lineage: Eukaryota; Metazoa; Chordata; Mammalia; Primates; Cercopithecidae.
AACUCUACAGUGCGGCCCUGGGUCCACUGGUCCAUAUUCUGACAGAUAAUUAAGAAAGCAGCAGCUUUUUCUAGACGGCUCUUCCUCAUGAUUUGCAUUUUAGCCAGAGGCGACCAGUUAUAAAAAAAACAUGAUGGAAAGAUGGUAAGAAGCCAAUUAGAUGGAUGGAUGGCUGACUGACAGCUCUCUGGUAUUACGACUCCAGAUUUCAGACUACAUAGCCUGGCAGUUUUCUACAAGAACCAACUUUUUUGCAGAAGGUCAUACAUAUGCUAUUUGAGAGUUCACAGCUAGCCCCUCACUACUCAAAUUGUGGGUGUUAUUGCCAGACUGCGGAGAUGCACAAGAAUUGACUUGAGAAGCAAGUAGAUUAUUCAUGCUCCUGCACACUCUGUUAUCUCUGGGAGUUCUUAAUCAAUGCAGGGUGAGAGCCAGUUAGCACGACUGAGGUUAGGGUAAACGGGCUGUUCAGGGAAAGAUAAAUUAAAAUGUGAUUAUUAUUCAAAUUGGAAUAUAGAGAACAUAAUCCAAGAAGGAAGAGAAGGAGAAUAAUAGAAAUAAAUAAAAACGUACCUACUGAAUCACUUGCUGUAUUGAAUCUAGUCCUUGAAAUUCCAAAGACAUUAUAAUAUGCUUUGACUAAAGGGAACGAUUUGGGAGAUUUAUACUCUAUCUAAUUGGCUCCUGAGAUAUGCUGAAAUAUAAAUUCUCACAUGCUGGAAAUGUCUACUAAAUAUACCUUGAUACAUAAAUUAAAUUAUCCUAUAGAAAAUUGUACUGUACUCAAAAAUCUAUAUACAAAUAAAAAAUAAAUUCUAAAUAACA